RNAcentral lists this ribosomal RNA (440 nucleotides) under uncultured bacterium. RNAcentral describes it as "bacterial SSU rRNA". It matches the Rfam family "Bacterial small subunit ribosomal RNA", at positions 339 to 796 of the family's 1533-position model. The record is from RNAcentral.
CUACGGGAGGCAGCAGUGGGGAAUCUUAGACAAUGGGGGAAACCCUGAUCUAGCCAUGCCGCGUGAGCGAUGAAGGCCUUAGGGUUGUAAAGCUCUUUCAGCUGGGAAGAUAAUGACGGUACCCGCAGAAGAAGCCCCGGCUAACUUCGUGCCAGCAGCCGCGGUAAUACGAAGGGGGUUAGCGUUGCUCGGAAUCACUGGGCGUAAAGCGCACGUAGGCGGGUUGCUAAGUCAGGGGUGAAAUCCUGGAGCUCAACUCCAGAACUGCCUUUGAUACUGGCGACCUUGAGUCCGGGAGAGGUGAGUGGAACUGCGAGUGUAGAGGUGAAAUUCGUAGAUAUUCGGAGGAACACCAGUGGCGAAGGCGGCUCACUGGCUCGAUACUGACGCUGAGGUGCGAAAGCGUGGGGAGCAAACAGGAUUAGAAACCCGUGUAGUCC